RNAcentral lists this unclassified non-coding RNA (360 nucleotides) under fungal sp. RNAcentral's name for it is "partial internal transcribed spacer region". The stretch from base 1 to 46 matches the Rfam family "Eukaryotic small subunit ribosomal RNA", at positions 1786 to 1831 of the family's 1831-position model. Lineage: Eukaryota; Fungi. The record is from RNAcentral.
AAGUCGUAACAAGGUUUCCGUAGGUGAACCUGCGGAAGGAUCAUUAACACGCGUAAUCUCUAACGAUUACAAACCAACACGUGAACAUGUUUAAUUGCAAACCGCGAGUGGCAGGCCGCUUUGGUUUUGUAAGGAGUGUCUCGAAUGCUGUGACUCCUUAUGGGCCAGGGUGCUAUGGACUGUUGAACGCGGUAUACAAGUUAAAAAUAAACUCACCAGUACUCUAACCCUUUCACCCCUCUUUGAACAAUUAUUUAACUGAUUUUCCACAGUUUGAGUCGAAAGGCUCGAGCUGCACUGGAUCGUAAUCUUACGAAACAGUAAAGUACAACUCUAAGCAGUGGAUAUCUAGGUUCCCAU